CUUAAAGGUCCCCAGUGUGGAUGAGCUGCUUCCCUCUGAGACCACAGGUGCAGACAUCACUCUACAGCAUCCUCGAGAGGUCUCCCUAGGCUCGUUUCCUUUCUCAGCAGGGUGAAGUUUGAGUGAGAGCCGAGCAAGCUCUCCAGAAAACUGUUCCAUUUGUGAACAUCUGGAGAUUCACAGAUCUGUGACACAGCAUGGGGUCACCCUGGGCUUGACCACUUCCACACAGGUCCCUGAAAACCUAUUAUAAUCUUUUUCCUGACCGCCUGCACUGCCCUAGAAGCUUAACUCAUAAACAUAACAAAAUAACAUCUGCAAUUUAAAAAAAAGUUUGCAUUAAAUACUUACUAUAUG
This 357-nucleotide long non-coding RNA is filed under the name Equus caballus (horse). RNAcentral's name for it is "lncRNA (ENSECAG00000060228.1)". The record is from RNAcentral. Lineage: Eukaryota; Metazoa; Chordata; Mammalia; Perissodactyla; Equidae.